GUUUUGCAUCUCUACUUAGCCCUCCCCUGCCCCCCUGAAGUCAGGAAAAGGUCUGGGAGUCCUUUGUCUGCCCCAAAAUAUCUAGAAUUUUGUCUGCAGGGCUGGAGAGUUUGUGGAACCUGAACUCUGCUCCCCAGAUCUACAACAUUGCAGCUGAUGUGGUUUGUUCUGCCCUAGCCCCCGUUCUCAUACUUAAGCCGGAAGGAACAAAAGUCGGGGCUGGGUAUGGGGAAGGGGCAUGAAUCAUGUUGGCCUUAGUCAAGCCAGUUCGGGUCAGCCUCCCUGCCUGAGGGCCCCUCUUCCUCUUCCCAGCAACCCUGGCAGCAUAGGGCAAUUCUGAACUUGCUCAGAAAGGUAGAUGGGUAGGAGUGUGCUGGGCCCUCCACACUGCCCUCUGCUGACUUUAGACAGUGCACUCUUCAUUUUAUUCCUCCAUGAAUAGGGCACCUUAAGAUGUCUGUGUUUCUGAAUAGCCAACAGGGGCCCUGGAUAGGGGGCAGAGGAGGUCAAGAAAGAUGCAGGACCAGGAUGUGGCAAUAUCCUCCUCCGGGGGAUCAUGGCCCACCUGGGAUUAGGGGGACAAGAGAAAUUGGAGUUUGGAGACAG
This 606-nucleotide long non-coding RNA is filed under the name Marmota monax (woodchuck). The record is from RNAcentral. Lineage: Eukaryota; Metazoa; Chordata; Mammalia; Rodentia; Sciuridae.